AUUGAACGCUGGCGGCAUGCCUUACACAUGCAAGUCGAACGGCAGCACGGGGCAACCUGGUGGCGAGUGGCGAACGGGUGAGUAGUGCAUCGGAACGUACCUUUCAGUGGGGGAUAACGUAGCGAAAGUUACGCUAAUACCGCGUAUUCUGUGAGCAGUAAAGCAGGGGAUCGCAAGACCUUGCGCUGAUUGAGCGGCCGAUGUCGGAUUGGCUAGUUGGUGAGGUAAAGGCUCACCAAGGCGACGAUCUGUAGCGGGUCUGAGAGGAUGAUCCGCCACACUGGAACUGAGACACGGUCCAGACUCCUACGGGAGGCAGCAGUGGGGAAUUUUGGACAAUGGGGGCAACCCUGAUCCAGCCAUGCCGCGUGAGUGAAGAAGGCCUUCGGGUUGUAAAGCUCUUUCGGCCGGGAAGAAAUCGCACGGGCUAAUACCCUGUGUGGAUGACGGUACCGGAAUAAGAAGCACCGGCUAACUACGUGCCAGCCGCCGCCGUAA
This 498-nucleotide ribosomal RNA is filed under the name uncultured bacterium. Its description in RNAcentral is "partial 16S ribosomal RNA". It matches the Rfam family "Bacterial small subunit ribosomal RNA", at positions 30 to 523 of the family's 1533-position model. The record is from RNAcentral.